UACGUAGGGUGCAAGCGUUGUCCGGAAUUAUUGGGCGUAAAGAGCUCGUAGGCGGUCAGUCGCGUCUGCUGUGAAAACUCGGGGCUUAACUCCGGGCCUGCAGUGGGUACGGGCUGACUAGAGUGCGGUAGGGGAGACUGGAAUUCCUGGUGUAGCGGUGAAAUGCGCAGAUAUCAGGAGGAACACCGGUGGCGAAGGCGGAUCUCUGGGCCAUUACUGACGCUGAGGAGCGAAAGCGUGGGGAGCGAACAGG
RNAcentral lists this ribosomal RNA (253 nucleotides) under uncultured bacterium. RNAcentral's name for it is "partial 16S ribosomal RNA". It matches the Rfam family "Bacterial small subunit ribosomal RNA", at positions 524 to 776 of the family's 1533-position model. The record is from RNAcentral.